Molecule: transfer RNA, 75 nt
Filed under: Hoplolatilus cuniculus (dusky tilefish)
Lineage: Eukaryota; Metazoa; Chordata; Actinopteri; Malacanthidae
Description: tRNA-Lys
Rfam family: tRNA
About the family: Transfer RNA (tRNA) molecules are approximately 80 nucleotides in length.
Source: RNAcentral
CGCCAAGAAGCUGAAUAAGGGGACAGCGUUAGCCUUUUAAGCUAAAGAAUGGUGACUCCCAACCACCCUUGACGA